GGGUUGCUAACUCAACGGUAGAGUACUCGGCUUUUAACCGACUAGACCCGGGUUCGAAUCCCGGGCAACCCA
RNAcentral lists this transfer RNA (72 nucleotides) under Roldana barba-johannis. RNAcentral's name for it is "tRNA-Lys". It matches the Rfam family "tRNA". From Rfam's summary of the family: Transfer RNA (tRNA) molecules are approximately 80 nucleotides in length. Their secondary structure includes four short double-helical elements and three loops (D, anti-codon, and T loops). The record is from RNAcentral. Lineage: Eukaryota; Viridiplantae; Streptophyta; Magnoliopsida; Asterales; Asteraceae.